Molecule: ribosomal RNA, 253 nt
Filed under: uncultured bacterium
Lineage: Bacteria
Description: partial 16S ribosomal RNA
Rfam family: Bacterial small subunit ribosomal RNA
Source: RNAcentral
UACGUAGGUGGCAAGCGUUGUCCGGAAUCACUGGGCGUAAAGCGCACGUAGGCGGAUUGCUAAGUCAGGGGUGAAAUCCUGGAGCUCAACUCCAGAACUGCCUUUGAUACUGGCGAUCUCGAGUCCGGGAGAGGUGAGUGGAAUUCCGAGUGUAGAGGUGAAAUUCGUAGAUAUUCGGAGGAACACCAGUGGCGAAGGCGGCUCACUGGCUCGGUACUGACGCUGAGGUGCGAAAGCGUGGGGAGCAAACAGG